UAGCCACUUUGGUAGCUCAGACACUAAAACUGGAAUGAUUCAGAGAAAAUAAGUAUGGCCCUUACACAAGGAAGACAUGCAAAGUCAUAAAGCAAUCUGUACAUUU
This is a small nuclear RNA of Tursiops truncatus (common bottlenose dolphin), 106 nucleotides long. The record is from Ensembl. Lineage: Eukaryota; Metazoa; Chordata; Mammalia; Artiodactyla; Delphinidae.